AUACUCUGGUUUCUCUUCAGAUCGUAUGACUCUUUUGGCUUUUACUAAAUAUUUCCAAGGAUAUAAACAAUUCUGAGUCUUAACCCAAUUUUUUUGAGGCCUUGCGUUUGCAGGGCU
This 117-nucleotide small nuclear RNA is filed under the name Microcebus murinus (gray mouse lemur). RNAcentral describes it as "U5 spliceosomal RNA (ENSMICG00000047821.1)". It matches the Rfam family "U5 spliceosomal RNA". From Rfam's summary of the family: U5 RNA is a component of both types of known spliceosome. The precise function of this molecule is unknown, though it is known that the 5' loop is required for splice site selection and p220 binding, and that both the 3' stem-loop and the Sm site are important for Sm protein binding and cap methylation. The record is from Rfam by way of RNAcentral. Lineage: Eukaryota; Metazoa; Chordata; Mammalia; Primates; Cheirogaleidae.